Molecule: ribosomal RNA, 480 nt
Filed under: uncultured bacterium
Lineage: Bacteria
Description: partial 16S ribosomal RNA
Rfam family: Bacterial small subunit ribosomal RNA
Source: RNAcentral
GACGAACGCUGGCGGCGUGCUUAACACAUGCAAGUCGAACGAUGAAGAAAAGAAUCGAAGCUUCGGCAGAAAUUCAUUUCGGAUUAGUGGCAGACGGGUGAGUAACGCGUGAGCAACCUACCUCUUACAAAGGGAUAGCCUCGGGAAACCGGGAUUAAUACCAUAUAACAUUGCGACGAAGCAUUUCGCUGCAAUCAAAGCUACGGCGGUAAGAGAUGGGCUCGCGUCCCAUUAACCGGAUGGUGAGGUAACGGCUCACCAUAGUGACGAUGGGUAACCGGCCUGAGAGGGUGAACGGUCACACUGGAACUGAGACACGGUCCAGACUCCUACGGGAAGCAGCAGUGGGGAAUAUUGCACAAUGGAGGGAACUCUGAUGCAGCGACGCCGCGUGAGUGAUGAAGGAAUUCGUUUCGUAAAACUCUGUUCUAUGGGAAGAAAAGGACUGUACCAUAGGAGAAAGCUCCGGCUAAAUACGUG